This 520-nucleotide ribosomal RNA is filed under the name uncultured bacterium. RNAcentral's name for it is "partial 16S ribosomal RNA". It matches the Rfam family "Bacterial small subunit ribosomal RNA", at positions 355 to 868 of the family's 1533-position model. The record is from RNAcentral.
UGGGGAAUAUUGCACAAUGGGCGAAAGCCUGAUGCAGCAACGCCGCGUGAGUGAUGAAGGCCUUCGGGUUGUAAAGCACUUUUGUCCGGAAAGAAAUCCUUGGCUCUAAUACAGUCGGGGGAUGACGGUACCGGAAGAAUAAGCACCGGCUAACUACGUGCCAGCAGCCGCGGUAAUACGUAGGGUGCAAGCGUUAAUCGGAAUUACUGGGCGUAAAGCGUGCGCAGGCGGUUUGCUAAGACCGAUGUGAAAUCCCCGGGCUCAACCUGGGAACUGCAUUGGUGACUGGCAGGCUAGAGUAUGGCAGAGGGGGGUAGAAUUCCACGUGUAGCAGUGAAAUGCGUAGAGAUGUGGAGGAAUACCGAUGGCGAAGGCAGCCCCCUGGGCCAAUACUGACGCUCAUGCACGAAAGCGUGGGGAGCAAACAGGAUUAGAUACCCUGGUAGUCCACGCCCUAAACGAUGUCAACUAGUUGUUGGGGAUUCAUUUCCUUAGUAACGUAGCUAACGCGUGAAGUUGA